Molecule: long non-coding RNA, 668 nt
Organism: Talpa occidentalis (Iberian mole)
Lineage: Eukaryota; Metazoa; Chordata; Mammalia; Eulipotyphla; Talpidae
Exons: 3
Source: RefSeq, a predicted model, not a curated record
CUGUGCGCCCGGCCGUUCCCGGCGGUGGUGAGCGUGAGCUCGGGAGGUGUAGUUCUCGGAACGCCCCGCCGGCCGUUUCCUCUGGGUCUGGGGGAGAUUGAUCGAGCGCCGCUGCCUCUGGAGAGCGCGGGUACCGGCUGCCGCACAGCUCCGUGCCACACACUUGUUCAGUGUCCCGGGGAGAGUGGCUCUGGUCGCGUACAGCUGAGCGGGAGCGGCAACAGUCACAGGGAGCACAAGGCCAUUCUCCCUGGGCCAGGAUAGAAGGUUGUGCAUGUGGGCAUGCCAGUUCCUGGCCUUUCCAGAACAUUAGGACUGUGCCCUCACGCCCUCAGUCCUGGACUCAAACCAGGUUCUCAUCCUUUGCUCCAGACAGCCUUUCUCAGAGGCUUUGAGACGAUUAUAUAAGAGAUAGCAUCUGGCACUGAGGAGGCCUGGCAAGUGUCAUGCCCUACACCUACUGGCGGCCUGGAUUGCUGUGACCUUCACUCCCAGAUGAGCAGUAAGUGGGACUCUGAAGUCAUGGUCACUUGUCUUCACCCCAAUCCUCACCCCAGGGCAGACACAGUGGAUGGGAACCAUUUGAAGUGAAAAUAUGAACAUUAUUUAAUAACUGAUCUUCUGUAAUAAACCAUUUGAAAAUAUUUUACAAGGAAUCACACACACGA